Zonotrichia albicollis (white-throated sparrow) is the source of this 1607-nucleotide non-coding RNA. NCBI's taxonomy places the organism in Eukaryota, Metazoa, Chordata, Aves, Passeriformes, Passerellidae. The record is from RefSeq and is a predicted model, not a curated record.
GGGAUCCUCAAUUCCCAACAGAUCAGGAACUUUGGGAUCGUCCUGGAAUGAGAACUUUGGGGUCUCUAUGGGUCGAGGACUUUGGGAUCAGGAAUUCCCAACGGAUCAGGAACUUUGGGAUCUCUAUGGACUGAGAACUUUGGGAUCCCCAAUUCCCAGCAGGUUGAGAACUUUGGGAUCCUUCUGGAAUGAGAACUUUGGGAUCUCCAUAAACUGAGAACUUUGGGAUCCUCAAUUCCCAACGAAUCUAGAACUUUGGGAUCCCCGAUUUCCAGUGGAUCCAGAACUUUGGGAUCUCCAUGGACUGAGAACUUUGGGAUCCACAAUUCCCAAUGGAGCGAGAACCUUGGGAUCUCCAUGGAUCCAGAACUUUGAGGUCCCCAAUUCCCAGCAGGUUGAGAACUUUGGGAUCCUCCUGGAAUGAGAACUUUGGGAUCUCCAAUUCCCAAUGGAUCAGGAACUUUGGUAUCUCCAUGGAUCCAGAACUUUGGGAUCCACAAUUCCCAACGAAUCCAGAACUUGAGGAUCCUCCUGGAAUGAGAACGUUGGGAUCUCCAUGGACUGAGAAGUUUGGGAUCCCCAAUUCCCAAUGGAUCAAAAACUUUGGGAUCUCCAUGGAUCCAGAACUUUGGGAUUCCCCUGGGAUGAGAACUCUGGGAUCCCCAAUUCCCAACGGAUCAGGAACUUUGGGAUCCUCAAUUCCCAACAGGUUGAGAACUUUGGGAUCCUCCUGGAAUGAGAAGUUUUGGGAUCCCCAAUUCCCAACGAAUCGAGAACUUUGGGAUCUCCAUGGAUCCAGAACUUUGGGAUCCCCAAUUCCCACCCGAUCCCCAAACUUUGGGCUCCCCCAUUCCCCACCUCUCCCCCCUUUUCCCACAUUUUCUCCCCAUAUUUAAAAAUUUGGGAAUUCCCAUCCCCUUUUUUCCCCUCCCCCCCAUGGACAUUCUGCACUUUAUUCCAGGCUCUGGGAAUUCCGGGAUCGCCUUUUUUUUUUGGAUUUUUUUGGGAUCAUCCCACAAAAUUUUGGGAAUUUUUGGCCUCCCCUGAGAAAUCAGGAUGAGCCCUGCUGGAAAAACCCGGAGCUUUUAUGCAAAUCCCUCCACUCCCAUCCCAUUUUUUCCCCCCCACAAAAUUCCCAAUUUUUUUUUUCCCAGAAAAUUUGGGGUCAAAACAAUAAAAAAAAAAAUAGGAAAAAAAUCCCAUCAGGAUUGAAAUUCCCAACAAAAUUCCCAUUCCUGAAACGCUUUGGCUCAGGGGGGGAUUUUUUUUAGGGAAUCUCCUGAAUUUUUAGGGAAUUUUAACUCCUUGGAGGUCCUGAUGCUUUUAUUCCGAUUUUCCUGCUUUUAUCCCAAAUUUCCUGCUUUUAUCCCCAUUUUCCUGCUCUUUUUUUUCCCCUUUUUUUUCCCAUUUUUUUUCUUUCCCCCUGGCUAUGCAAGAGCUCCCCCCCCCGGGAUGGAAAUCCCAGAAAAAUCCUGGAAAAAUAAAAAAUUCCAUGGAAAAAAAAAAAUCCCGGGAAAGGCUCGGGGGAAAAAUCCCGGGAUUUGGGAAAAGCUUUGGGAUUCCCUGGAUAUGCAAAGAGGGCGCCAAUAAAUCUGUGGAAAAUGGGA